GUAGGAGUGAGCCUGCUCGCGAUAGCGGUCUAUCAGUCAGAUCUAAAUUGACUGACCCACCACUAUCGCGAGCAGGCUCACUCCUAC
This 87-nucleotide non-coding RNA is filed under the name Pseudomonas sp. 29. Lineage: Bacteria; Pseudomonadati; Pseudomonadota; Gammaproteobacteria; Pseudomonadales; Pseudomonadaceae. The record is from RNAcentral.